GCUAUAGCUCAGUUGGUAGAGCCCCGGAUUGUGAUUCCGGUUGUCGUGGGUUCGAGCCCCAUUAGC
This 66-nucleotide transfer RNA is filed under the name Vibrio cholerae. RNAcentral's name for it is "tRNA-His". It matches the Rfam family "tRNA". From Rfam's summary of the family: Transfer RNA (tRNA) molecules are approximately 80 nucleotides in length. Lineage: Bacteria; Pseudomonadati; Pseudomonadota; Gammaproteobacteria; Vibrionales; Vibrionaceae. The record is from RNAcentral.